AUUGAACGCUGGCGGCAUGCUUUACACAUGCAAGUCGAACGGCAGCGCGGGCUUCGGCCUGGCGGCGAGUGUCGAACGGGUGAGUAAUGCAUCGGAACGUGCCCAGUAGUGGGGGAUAGCCCGGCGAAAGCCGGAUUAAUACCUCAUACGACCUGAGGGUGAAAGCGGGGGACCGAAAGGCCUCGCGCUAUUGGAGCGGCCGAUGUCGGAUUAGCUAGUUGGUGGGGUAAAGGCUUACCAAGGCGACGAUCCGUAGCUGGUCUGAGGGGACGACCGGCCACACUGGGACUGGGACACGGCCCAGACUCCUACGGGAGGCAGAAGUGGGGAAUUUUGGACAAUGGGGGCAACCCUGAUCCAGCCAUGCCGCGUGCGGGAAGAAGGCCUUCGGGUUGUAAACCGCUUUUGUUCGGGAAGAAAUCCUCUGGGCUAAUACCCCGGGGGGAUGACGGUACCGGAAGAAUAAGCACCGGCUAACUACGUG
This 484-nucleotide ribosomal RNA is filed under the name uncultured bacterium. Its description in RNAcentral is "partial 16S ribosomal RNA". It matches the Rfam family "Bacterial small subunit ribosomal RNA", at positions 28 to 507 of the family's 1533-position model. The record is from RNAcentral.